GACGAACGCUGGCGGCGUGCUUAACACAUGCAAGUCGAACGAUGAAGAAGAGAAACGCGAACUUCGGUUCAAAUUUCACUUCGGAUUAGUGGCAGACGGGUGAGUAACGCGUGAGCAACCUACCUCUUACAAAGGGAUAGCCUCGGGAAACCGUGAUUAAUACCAUAUGACACAUUCAUAAGGCAUCUUAAGAAUGUUAAAGCUACGGCGGUAAGAGAUGGGCUCGCGUCCCAUUAGCUAGUUGGUGAGGUAACGGCCCACCAAGGCGACGAUGGGUAACCGGCCUGAGAGGGUGAACGGUCACAUAGGAACUGAGACACGGUCCAAACUCCUACGGGAGGCAGCAGUGGGGAAUAUUGCACAAUGGAGGGAACUCUGAUGCAGCGACGCCGCGUGAGCGAUGAAGGAAUUCGUUUCGUAAAGCUCUGUUCUAUGGGAAGAAAAGGACUGUACCAUAGGAGAAAGCCCCGGCUAAAUACGUG
RNAcentral lists this ribosomal RNA (482 nucleotides) under uncultured bacterium. Its description in RNAcentral is "partial 16S ribosomal RNA". It matches the Rfam family "Bacterial small subunit ribosomal RNA", at positions 28 to 507 of the family's 1533-position model. The record is from RNAcentral.